This 406-nucleotide ribosomal RNA is filed under the name uncultured bacterium. RNAcentral describes it as "partial 16S ribosomal RNA". It matches the Rfam family "Bacterial small subunit ribosomal RNA", at positions 30 to 526 of the family's 1533-position model. The record is from RNAcentral.
AUUGAACGCUGGCGGCAGGCCUAACACAUGCAAGUCGAACGAGUGGCGGACGGGUGAGUAAUGUCUGGGCAACUGCCUGAUGGAGGGGGAUAACUACUGGAAACGGUAGCUAAUACCGCAUACCAUCAGAUGUGCCCAGAUGGGAUUAGCUUGUUGGUGGGGUAACGGCUGACCAAGGCGACGAUCCUUAGCUGGUCUGAGAGGAUGACAAGCCACUUGGGAACUGAGAGUCGGUUGAGACUCCUACGGGAGGCAGCAGUGGGUAAUAUUGCACAAGGGGCGCAAGCUUGAUGCAGCCCGGCGGCGUGUAUGAAGAAGGCCUUCGGGUUGUAAAGUACUUUCAGCGGGGAGGCGUUACCCGCAGAAGAAGCACCGGCUAACGCCGUGCCAGCAGCCGCGGUAAUUC